UAGGGAAUCUUCCGCUAUGGACGAAAGUCUGACGGAGCGACGCCGCGUGAGCGAAGAAGGUCUUCGGAUCGUAAAGCUCUGUUGUUAGGGAAGAAGAAGUGCCGUUCGAACAGGGCGGCACGGUGACGGUACCUAACGAGAAAGCCCCGGCUAACUACGUGCCAGCAGCCGCGGUAAUACGUAGGGGGCGAGCGUUGUCCGGAAUUAUUGGGCGUAAAGCGCGCGCAGGCGGUCCCUUAAGUCUGAUGUGAAAGCCCACGGCUUAACCGUGGAGGGUCAUUGGAAACUGGGGGACUUGAGUGCAGAAGAGGAGAGCGGAAUUCCACGUGUAGCGGUGAAAUGCGUAGAGAUGUGGAGGAACACCAGUGGCGAAGGCGGCUCUCUGGUCUGUAACUGACGCUGAGGCGCGAAAGCGUGGGGAGCAAACAGG
Molecule: ribosomal RNA, 430 nt
Filed under: bacterium
Lineage: Bacteria
Description: partial 16S ribosomal RNA
Rfam family: Bacterial small subunit ribosomal RNA
Source: RNAcentral